CGACGUGCAAGUUCUACAAUUUAUCCGUCCAGAUGGCAGAAGGAGAUCAGUCCAACCGACGCAUCUAAAAAGCAACAUAUGCAGAGCCAUUCGCCCGAGAUAUAAACAAGCUGGUGGCCGCCCAUCUCUGCAUGUAUUUUAUUUGGGAUAGCCAAAUCCUGGCGCGCCCAGCCGCUGCUCGUGAACCCCGCCUCCAUCAGCUCCACUUCACCAGAGCCGUCAGUCCACAGGAGUAGGGGUAGCGGAUCCCCUAUAGCGGCCAAAUCCCGGUGCGCCAAGCCGCUGCUCGUGAACCACGCCUCCAUCAGCUCCACUACACCGGAGCCGUCAGUCCACAGGAGUAGGGGUAGCAGGGACGCAUUCAUGGCUUCAUUCAACAAGUGGAAUGUGGGCAGAUGUUGAUCAACAAGUCUGCGGUAUUAAGGUUAGCUGCUAGUACAUAUU
This is a long non-coding RNA of Triticum dicoccoides, 444 nucleotides long. RefSeq lists it as uncharacterized. NCBI's taxonomy places the organism in Eukaryota, Viridiplantae, Streptophyta, Magnoliopsida, Poales, Poaceae. The transcript is spliced from 4 exons. The record is from RefSeq and is a predicted model, not a curated record.